GUAUACAGCUUAGUGGCAGAGCACCUGCUUAGCAUGCACGAGACUGUGGGUUCAAUCCCCAGAAUGAAUACA
Molecule: transfer RNA, 72 nt
Filed under: Marmota monax (woodchuck)
Lineage: Eukaryota; Metazoa; Chordata; Mammalia; Rodentia; Sciuridae
Description: tRNA.Ala
Source: RNAcentral